AAAUGAAUUGACGGGGGCCCGCACAAGCGGAGGAACAUGUGGUUUAAUUCGAUGAUACGCGAGGAACCUUACCCGGGCUCGAACGGUGCAGGAAUAUGGUAGAGAUAUCAUAGCUAGCAAUAGUCUGUAUCGAGGUGCUGCAUGGUUGUCGUCAGCUCGUGCCGUGAGGUGUAGGCUUAAGUGCCAUAACGAGCGCAACCCUUGUCGUUAGUUGCCAUCAAGUCAUGUUGGGGACUCUAGCGAGACUGCCACCGUAAGGUGUGAGGAAGGGGGGGAUGACGUCAAAUCAGCACGGCCCUUACGUCCGGGGCGACACACGUGUUACAAUGGUAGGUACAGAGGGCAGCUACCCAGCGAUGGGAUGCCAAUCUCGAAAACCUAUCUCAGUUCGGAUCGGAGUCUGCAACUCGACUCCGUGAAGUUGGAUUCGCUAGUAAUCGCGCAUCAGCCAUGGCGCGGUGAAUACGUUCCCGGGCCUUGUACACACCGCCCGU
This 494-nucleotide ribosomal RNA is filed under the name uncultured bacterium. RNAcentral's name for it is "bacterial SSU rRNA". It matches the Rfam family "Bacterial small subunit ribosomal RNA", at positions 903 to 1397 of the family's 1533-position model. The record is from RNAcentral.